UGGGGAAUUUUGGACAAUGGGCGCAAGCCUGAUCCAGCAAUGCCGCGUGCAGGAUGAAGGCCCUCAGGGUUGUAAACGGCUUUUAUUCGGGAAGAAGAGCGAGGAUGCGUCCUUGUGUGACGGUACCGAAUGAAUAAGCACCGGCUAACUCCGUGCCAGCAGCCGCGGUAAUACGUAGGGUGCGAGCGUUAAUCGGAAUUACUGGGCGUAAAGCGUGCGCAGGCGGUUAUAUAAGACAGAUGUGAAAUCCCCGGGCUCAACCUGGGACCUGCAUUUGUGACUGUAUAGCUAGAGUACGGUAGAGGGGGAUGGAAUUCCGCGUGUAGCAGUGAAAUGCGUAGAUAUGCGGAGGAACACCGAUGGCGAAGGCAAUCCCCUGGACCUGUACUGACGCUCAUGCACGAAAGCGUGGGGAGCAAACA
This 422-nucleotide ribosomal RNA is filed under the name uncultured bacterium. RNAcentral describes it as "bacterial SSU rRNA". It matches the Rfam family "Bacterial small subunit ribosomal RNA", at positions 355 to 774 of the family's 1533-position model. The record is from RNAcentral.